This 73-nucleotide transfer RNA is filed under the name Cricetulus griseus (Chinese hamster). It matches the Rfam family "tRNA". Rfam says of the family: Transfer RNA (tRNA) molecules are approximately 80 nucleotides in length. Their secondary structure includes four short double-helical elements and three loops (D, anti-codon, and T loops). Lineage: Eukaryota; Metazoa; Chordata; Mammalia; Rodentia; Cricetidae. The record is from Rfam by way of RNAcentral.
GGAGAGACAGCUCAGUGGUUAAGAGCACUGGAUGAUCUUCCAGAGGACCUGGAUUCAAUUCCCAGUUCCCCCA